GAUGAAGAACGUAGUGAAAUGCGAUAAGUAAUGUGAAUUGCAGAAUUCAGUGAAUCAUCGAAUCUUUGAACGCACAUUGCGCCCACCAGUAUUCUGGCGGGCAUGCCUGUUCGAGCGUCAUUUCAACCCUCAAGCCCCAGCGGCCUGGUGUUGGGGACCGGCGACCUCGCCCGAGCCCGCCCUCCGGGGCGCGUGCCCGGUGCGUCCGCCGCCCCCGAAAUGAAUUGGCGGCCUCGUCGCGGCCUCCUCUGCGUAGUAGCACAACCUCGCAAGCGGGAGCGCGACGCGGCAACUGCCGUAAAACGCCCAACUUUUUUAGAGUUGACCUCGGAUCAGGUAGGAAUACCCGCUGAACUUAAGCAUAUCAAUAAGCGGAGGA
This 379-nucleotide unclassified non-coding RNA is filed under the name soil metagenome. Its description in RNAcentral is "partial contains 5.8S ribosomal RNA, internal transcribed spacer 2, and large subunit ribosomal RNA". The stretch from base 1 to 120 matches the Rfam family "5.8S ribosomal RNA", at positions 35 to 154 of the family's 154-position model. The record is from RNAcentral.